GCCUUCGUGGUGCAGUGGUCAGCACACUCGGCUUGCUUUUAUUCGAGAGGUCCGUGGUUCGAGUCCAGGGGAGUGCA
Molecule: transfer RNA, 77 nt
Filed under: Stegodyphus mimosarum
Lineage: Eukaryota; Metazoa; Arthropoda; Arachnida; Araneae; Eresidae
Rfam family: tRNA
About the family: Transfer RNA (tRNA) molecules are approximately 80 nucleotides in length. Their secondary structure includes four short double-helical elements and three loops (D, anti-codon, and T loops).
Source: Rfam by way of RNAcentral